UAUUUUACCUGGCAGGGGAGAUAACAUGAUCAAGAUAGUGGUGCACCCAAGGAGAGGCUCAGCCAUUGCACUCUGGUCGUCCUGACACAUGUGAAUUCCCUAAAUCUGGGAACCGGGACUGCAAUAUUUUCGAUAGUAGGGGACUUCAUCUGCACCAUCUCCUU
Hemibagrus wyckioides is the source of this 164-nucleotide small nuclear RNA. RefSeq annotates it as U1 spliceosomal RNA. The transcript has a single exon. Lineage: Eukaryota; Metazoa; Chordata; Actinopteri; Siluriformes; Bagridae. The record is from RefSeq and is a predicted model, not a curated record.